GUAGGGAAUAUUGGGCAAUGGAUGCAAGUCUGACCCAGCCAUCCCGCGUGCCGGAAGAAGGCCCUCAGGGUUGUAAACGGCUUUUGACGGUGAAGAAUCGACAGGAUGCGUCCUGUUUUGACGGUAGCCGUUGAAUAAGCACCGGCUAACUCCGUGCCAGCAGCCGCGGUAAUACGGAGGGUGCGAGCGUUGUCCGGAUUUAUUGGGUUUAAAGGGUGCGUAGGCUGGAUGGUCAGUCAGCGGUGAAAAGCUGUCGCUUAACGUUAGUCUUGCCGCAGAUACUUCCUUUCUUGGAUGAGGAGGAGGCCACUGGAACGGAUGGUGUAGCGGAGAAAUGCAUAGAUAUCAUCCAGAACACCGAUUGCGAAGGCAGGUGGCUGUACCUUAAUCGACGCUGAUGCACGAAAGCAUGGGGAGCAAACAGGAUUAGAAACCCUGGUAGUCC
Molecule: ribosomal RNA, 445 nt
Filed under: uncultured bacterium
Lineage: Bacteria
Description: partial 16S ribosomal RNA
Rfam family: Bacterial small subunit ribosomal RNA
Source: RNAcentral